This is a long non-coding RNA of Carassius auratus (goldfish), 1715 nucleotides long. Lineage: Eukaryota; Metazoa; Chordata; Actinopteri; Cypriniformes; Cyprinidae. The record is from Ensembl.
UAAUAAUAAUAAUAAUAAUAAUAAUGAAGAUAAUAACAGCAAUAAUAAUAACACUUUACAAUUCAAUAAUAUAGUGAUAUUUCUUUACAAAGUUUUUGGUAAUACUUUAGAAUAAGGUUCCAUUAGUUAAUGUUAGUUAACUAUUUUAGUUAAUGAUCUAAACAAGAACAAUUUUUCUACAGCAUUUAUUAAUCUUAGUUUAUGUUAAUUUCAACAUUUACUAAUGCAUUAUUCAGAUCAAAAGUUGUGCUUGUUAACAUUAGUGAAUUAGUGCACUGUGAAUAACAUGAACUAACAAUGAAUAACUGUAUUUUCAUUAACUGACAUUAACAAAGAUGAAUAAAUACAGUAAUAGGUGUAUUGUUCAUUGUUUGUUUAUGUUAAUUAAUGAAUUAACUAACAUUACCUAAUGAACCAUUAGUUGUUACCUAAAGUGUUUUAAUUUUUUUUAAUAAUUUGAUUUAAUAAUAAUAAUAAUAAUAAUAAUAAACAAUUACAAUAAUAUAAAUGUAUUAUUAUUAUAUACAAGGAAUAAAUAUAAUUAUGAAAUACUUUACAAUUCAAUAGUAAUAUAGCGACUUCUUUAUAGAUGUAGUUUAGAGUAAAUUUUUUUAUCAUUUGAUUAAAUAAUAAUAAUAAUUGCAAUUGGUUGUGUUUCCUUAAUUUGUUGAGGAUGCUUUAAUUAAUUAAUGUGUUUAUUUAUUUAAAUGAAGUUGUAUUAAUGUGCUUUAUUGUUGCUGCUGUCAGGUUUGAGCUUACCUUUGAACGGAAGAGUUUGCCUAAUGCACUGUCUUUAGUUUUGCUCUUGGCAGAUCCCUCUGCUUUUGUUGCAGCUGCCGCGGCUGCUUUUGUUGCAGACGUGUCCUCUUUCUUCACCGCCGGCUCUGCUUUGCUUUCCAUCUUAGGUGGCGCUGGGGGAGGAGGAGGGGGUGCCUUGGGUGCUUCCUGUACCUCAGAAAAGAGUGCAGUUUGUUUCAUUUCAAUCACAAAACAGCAGCUUCCACUGGACUGGGUUUGAGAGCUUCAGCCUCCGGCUCCGGCUCUGUGCUGCUCUUUAUGUCCACUGGAUCCUAUAGACAAAUCCAGAGAAUAAGCCCUUGGGAAUGUGUUACAAGCCUUACAGCUGAUGUGCAAUAGAUGCAUUGAAAUAGAGGCACAAUUCCAUCCAUGCCUCUGCCUACUCCAGCCAGCAGCAACAAUCAUCCUUUUAUUAACGCCUGUUUCCCCCCCUCACUCAUUGAUAUUCAGCAAUGUGCUGGAUUUAAAGUCUGCAUGUGUCUUAUAUGGCAGUAAAGUGUGUCAUAUUUAGAAUGUACAGUAUGUGAUUUGCUUGUUAUAUUUUUGUGAAAAGUUGAACAUGUGAAAGGUGUAACUCAACAACAUCUGGUUGGUGAUGACUGGUGUACAGUAGAGUUACAGUAGCUCUUCGUUAGUUGUUAGAUUGCAUGCAAAUGUUAAAAUGCACAAGAAAAGGACAAAAGAAACACUUACCUCUAAGACAGCUAAAGUACUAAUGUUUGGAAUGAAUUAAUGAAUUAAUAAAUGAAUAAACAUUUAUUUAUUUUUAAUGAAUUAAUUAUAAAGACAAAACAAACACUUUAAAUGUCUGAGAGCGUUAAACUACCAGUCAAAUGUUUGGAAUAAUAUUAGAAUAUAUUGUUAUAGAAGCCUCUUAUGAUCAAAAAUACAGUAAAACAUGAAUUUUGUGAAAUAUU